This is a non-coding RNA of Bemisia tabaci, 828 nucleotides long. The record is from RefSeq and is a predicted model, not a curated record. NCBI's taxonomy places the organism in Eukaryota, Metazoa, Arthropoda, Insecta, Hemiptera, Aleyrodidae.
GGAAACAUAGAUUAGUUCUCCUUCUAUUCAAGCAGCCCAGCAGAGAGAAAAUCGGAUUUUCUGAUGAAUUAAUCUACACGAGAAAAGACGUAUUUAAUCGAGGGAAUUUUUCAGCCUUGAGGUUUGCUACAAAGUAUGACUUAGGUGACCCCAUAGCUGUCAACUUCUGUGUAUUGGACAUGGAUAUUCUGCCCGAACCAUUUUACUGAAGUAUGCUUCUAUAUUGGAAAGAAGGUGGCCAUCAUUAAUUUAACUGUAAGCUCGGCACGAUAAAAGGAAAUAUGAGAAUAUUAUUAUACAUAUAGUGUUAGUAAUCUGAGCGCAGCUCUUUGGCUCGUAUAUUUGUGCGAUACAAGUCAAACUGACUUAUUACGCGUUUCGCGCAUAUUUUAAUCAAACAGAAUAUCAAGAACAGUGUAGCCUUGGGCCUCCUUACGCGUUUACCUUUUUUACAUCUGAAGUAAACAAAUCUUGAAUGGCCUCAAAUCGUUUGGCAAAAGUCUUCGUAAGUUGAUAAAUGUCAAAAAUUCACCCUAAAAAUGACUUUAGAUAAUGAAUUAUUUUGCUUCUGCAAUGAAAUAUAAGUUUGUAUAUUUAUAAUAUGACUCUAAGUCUUAGCUGAGCUCAAUUUGUUUUCCUUCCUAUCAAUGAAAAUUUAUUUGAAAAAAUAUACUGCUUAAUCGCAGUGACCAACUCAACUAGACAGUUCAUCAGAGAUAUUGCGCAUUGUGUAUUUCUUAGUUAAUUUUUUGGGCGUGUGAUCCAAUAAUUUUAAGUUUUGUCUUUAUCAUAUUGGGCGAAAUUAAAAUAUACAAUUUUUUAAGUGAA